This 254-nucleotide ribosomal RNA is filed under the name uncultured bacterium. Its description in RNAcentral is "partial 16S ribosomal RNA". It matches the Rfam family "Bacterial small subunit ribosomal RNA", at positions 524 to 776 of the family's 1533-position model. The record is from RNAcentral.
UACGUAGGGGGCAAGCGUUGUCCGGAAUCAUUGGGCUUAAAGCGCGUGUAGGCGGAUUCGUGCGUCUGUCGCUGAAAUCCCCCGGCUCAACCGGGGAAGUGGCGUGGAUACGACGAGUCUGGAGGGGCAUAGGGGGACCUGGAACUUCCGGUGGAGCGGUGAAAUGCGUUGAGAUCGGAAGGAACGCCCGUGGCGAAAGCGAGGUCCUGGAUGCCUACUGACGCUGAGACGCGAAAGCCAGGGGAGCGAACGGG